This 630-nucleotide ribosomal RNA is filed under the name uncultured bacterium. Its description in RNAcentral is "bacterial SSU rRNA". It matches the Rfam family "Bacterial small subunit ribosomal RNA", at positions 75 to 698 of the family's 1533-position model. The record is from RNAcentral.
CGUAGCAAUACGAUGGGUGGCGAGUGGCGGACGGGUGAGGAAUGCAUCGGAAUCUGCCCGAUCGUGGGGGAUAACGCAUCGAAAGGUGCGCUAAUACCGCAUGAGAUCGAGAGAUGAAAGCGGGGGACCUUCGGGCCUCGCGCGAUCGGAUGAGCCGAUGCCGGAUUAGCUAGUUGGCGGGGUAAAGGCCCACCAAGGCGACGAUCCGUAGCUGGUCUGAGAGGAUGAUCAGCCACACUGGGACUGAGACACGGCCCAGACUCCUACGGGAGGCAGCAGUGGGGAAUAUUGGACAAUGGGCGCAAGCCUGAUCCAGCAAUGCCGCGUGUGUGAAGAAGGCCUUCGGGCUGUAAAGCACUUUUAUCGGGAGCGAAAAGCGGACGGUGAAUACCCGUCCGUGCUGACGGUACCCGAGGAAUAAGCACCGGCUAACUUCGUGCCAGCAGCCGCGGUAAUACGAAGGGUGCAAGCGUUAAUCGGAAUUACUGGGCGUAAAGCGUGCGUAGGCGGUUCGCUAAGUCUGCCGUGAAAGCCCCGGGCUCAACCUGGGAAUUGCGGUGGAUACUGGCGAGCUGGAGUGUGGUAGAGGAGGGUGGAAUUCCCGGUGUAGCGGUGAAAUGCGUAGAGAUC